This 374-nucleotide ribosomal RNA is filed under the name uncultured bacterium. RNAcentral's name for it is "bacterial SSU rRNA". It matches the Rfam family "Bacterial small subunit ribosomal RNA", at positions 28 to 395 of the family's 1533-position model. The record is from RNAcentral.
GAUGAACGCUAGCGGCAGGCUUAAUACAUGCAAGUCGUGGGGCAGCAGGUCCCGAGAAAUCGGGAUGCUGGCGACCGGCAAACGGGUGCGUAACACGUACGCAACUUUCCUUUAAGCGGGGAAUAGCCCAGAGAAUUUGGAUUAAUACCCCAUAAAAUUUUGAGAUGGCAUCAUCUUAUUAUUAAAGCUUCGGCACUUAAAGAUGGGCGUGCGGCUGAUUAGGUAGUUGGCGGGGUAACGGCCCACCAAGCCAGCGAUCAGUAGCUGAUGUGAGAGCAUGAUCAGCCACACGGGCACUGAGACACGGGCCCGACUCCGUACGGGAGGCAGCAGUAAGGAAUAUUGGUCAAUGGACGAAAGUCUGAACCAGCCAU